RNAcentral lists this ribosomal RNA (406 nucleotides) under uncultured bacterium. RNAcentral describes it as "partial 16S ribosomal RNA". It matches the Rfam family "Bacterial small subunit ribosomal RNA", at positions 30 to 526 of the family's 1533-position model. The record is from RNAcentral.
AUUGAACGCUGGCGGCAGGCCUAACACAUGCAAGUCGAACGAGUGGCAGACGGGUGAGUCAUGUCUAGGAACCUGCCUGAUGGCGGGGGAUAAUUACUGGAAACGGUAGCUAAUACCGAUAACCUUCAGAUGUGCCCAGUUGUGAUUAGCUAGUUGGUGGGUUAACGGCUAACCAAGUCGACGAUCCAUAGCUGGUCUGCGAGGAUGACCAGCCACACUGGAACUGAGACACGGUCCAGACUCCUACGGGAGGCAGCAGUGGGGAAUAUUGCACAAUGGGCGCAAGCCUGAUGCAGCCAUGCCGCGUGUAUGAAGAAGGCCUUCGGGUUGUAAAGUACUUUCAGCGGGGAGGCGUUACCCGCAGAAGAAGCACCGGCUAACUCCGUGCCAGCAGCCGCGGUAAUAC